Molecule: non-coding RNA, 29 nt
Filed under: Mus musculus (house mouse)
Lineage: Eukaryota; Metazoa; Chordata; Mammalia; Rodentia; Muridae
Source: RNAcentral
UGGUGACAUCACUGAAGAUUCUUGGGCUC